Oncorhynchus mykiss (rainbow trout) is the source of this 3023-nucleotide non-coding RNA. The record is from RefSeq and is a predicted model, not a curated record. Lineage: Eukaryota; Metazoa; Chordata; Actinopteri; Salmoniformes; Salmonidae.
AUCGGUCUGCGCAUCUCUGAUCCUUCAGAACUACAACCGUGGACGCUCUCACUGACAUCGAAAGACCUCUUCCGCAAUCCGAUGAAGGAGGCUCCGUUUAUGGCCCUACUACAUCAGCAUCCCUGACGGAGCUAUCCGCCUGUCCUGGACCAUUCCUUGCUGCCUUCAUUUCGUUAUUUUCCGGAGGACUUUACCUUUAUAGCCUUCGCAGAUCAUUCUAAAGAACUCCGCAUCCACUCUGCUAUGCACCUUUAGACCAGAUCUCUAAUUCCCGCGAUCAAUAUCUCAUCUCCCACAAUCGCCUUAUCUCGUCCCUGCCUGGUCCUCUCAUCGAACCCCAAGAAUGCAGCCCAAUGCAGUAAUGUUGGCUGUGGUCCUUUUUGGAAACUUGAUGCUGCAUUACGUCUCGGCUCAAAACGCUGGGUUUGUGAAGUCGCCAAUGUCUGAGACUAAGCUCACGCUGGACACCUUUGAGCUGUACUGCGACGUGAUUGGUAACCCCACCCCCGAGAUCCAGUGGUGGUACGCCGAGAUCAAUCGCGCCGACUCCUUCAAGCAGCUGUGGGACGGCGCCCGCAGGCGCCGCGUGUCCAUCAACACGGCCUACGGCAACAACGGGGUGAGCGUGUUGGGCAUCACGCGCCUCACGCUGGAGGACUCCGGGACCUACGAGUGCCGGGCCAGCAACAACCCACGGCGCAACGACCUGCGCCAAAACCCCGCCAUCACCUGGAUCCGAGCCCAGGCCACCAUUUCUGUGCUGCAGAAGCCCAAGAUCAAUGCGUCAGAUCAGAUCAUCCUACCCUCGGAGACCAAAGGGCCCCCUGUCACCCUGCAGUGUAACCUGACCAACGCCCACGAAGGCCAACAAGAGAGCUUCUGGAUGAAGAACGGAGUGGAGAUCGCAGACACACGGAACGAGCAGAAGAACACAGAGUACAUAAUCAAGAAACCAAGGUCAGACGACGCAGGGGAGUACAUGUGUGUUUACACGUUUGAAACGGCUCCCAACGCCAACGCCACUAUUGAGGUAAAAGCGGCACCUGAGAUCACGGGCCACAAGCGCAGUGACAAUAAGAACGAGGGGCAGAGUGCUCUGUUGUACUGUAAGUCUGUGGGCUACCCCUUUCCCAUCUGGACAUGGCGUAAACUGGAUGGCUCAAACUACAUGGAAAUCGAUAACUCCUCUGGCCGCUUCUUCAUCACCAACAAAGACAACUACACAGAGCUGAACAUCGUCAACCUGAACCGCACCUCGGACCCUGGUGAAUACCAGUGCAAUGCUACCAACCACAUUGGCACCAAGUCCAUGUCGUCCAUCCUGCGAGUGCGCAGCCACCUGGCACCCCUCUGGCCCUUCCUGGGGGUUCUAGCGGAGAUCAUCAUCCUGGUGGUCAUCAUCGUAGUGUAUGAAAAACGCAAGAGGCCAGAUGAUGUGUUGGACGUUCUGCCUAUGGCUGAGGGCUUAAAGUAGAGAAUCAAAAAUCCCUGUUCCCUACUCCAAUCAAAGCACGUCACACCCACAGGUAAAUGAUUCUCAAAGUAGCCUACGCUGGUAACUAGUUACUACUUUUACAGAGUAAUAUCUGUCCUAAUGGCAUAACCACUUGAUAACAUACAAUAAUAUAAACUGUUAAAGCUAGAUUCAAAAGUGUCAAAGUCAAACAAAGGUUUAAGCAUUUGAGUGUAGACUCAAAGCCAAAAAGGUCGUUGAGGCUUCACCCGCCUUUGGUUCUAUCAACUUUAUUCAGGAUAUCAGGAAGAUAUGAAUUAAUUGGUUAAUAUGACUUCUUUCCCCCUCUCUCCAAAUGGCAUCAUUAUCUAAACGGUUGAUGAUGAGCCAGCCGCACCAACGAAAACAAAUUCGACAAACAACCACAAAGACAAAAAUGUGCGCCAGAGGAAUACAAAAUGAGAAGCUACUCGUUGCAAUGACUAACUGCAUAUCUUGACCAUAUGAAGGUAUCUGAGGAGGGAGCUCCAGGCAAUUUUUAAUGAAGCAUAUCUCAUCUCUCUCUUACGAGAAAAAACAAUAACAGCGUAACACUGGCAGAAAAGAACAAGAUGGCUGUCUUAAGCAUGACUUAUUCAGUCUUACAUGAACAGUCCUGGACGGAGAGAUGACUAAUUCCAUCACGAAAGGUGUGCACAUCUUUUUUUGUGUGCUGUUUGAUGUCUCUUUUAUUCAUUUUAUCAUGUCCUCCAACCAGAGGUGAUCCUUUUUGUAUUACAUAUCAUGUAAAACGCAUGCAAAUUAUUACGCAAUAGGAUGCCCAGAAUAGACUUUGUUGUUUUCCCUCAUGUCUGUAUGGCUAUUUUGCGUCCAAAGGAAUUAUGUUUUUUUAUGAAAUUGUCCUGAACUGAAAAAUACUGUUAUAUUCUUAAAUAACUUUGUACAGCUGAUUCAUUGUCAUUAAACUAUGUUUGAUUUAGUGAAAGGAAAGUCCACUCUUAACAGCCAUUAUAGUGAAAAUGUGAUGCAAGGGAUUUGAUGUCUGGCAGUAUUUACUUGAAAAUGAUUAUAUGAAAAUUACUACUAUAUCUAUCUAGUUAUAAAUAAAAUGAGUGUUUAUUUUUAUUUUUCAGAGUAACUUAGGAUGUCUUGUAUAUGUUGAGGUACGAGUGUUCAAACAAUAGCAAAUACUGUAUGUAAAGAAAAAAAUACAUUUUAUAUUUCCCAACUUAAUUCAUUCAUUUUUAUUUUUCUGAAAUUGUACAGCAUGGCUAUUAUCCUAUGCAAUAUGUAUUCAUAUAUAGAUAUAUUGGGGGCAGUUUGUUUUUCUCAGUGAAGCUUUAAUAUUGUGGGAUCACUUGGAAGCUGGUAUAGCAAAAUGCACUGCUGUAGCUGCAUGACUCCUGUCCUAUAAAUACACCAUGUAUCCAUGUGUAUUGCAGUGCAAAUGGACCUACAUUAGGGUGGGAAUGGAAGGAGCUACGGUAUCUCUAGCCACGAUAAAACAUCAGACCAAUAACAUACGAGACUAAUACAUUUUUGAAAAUAAAAGGCUCCAAAAUACAUUUCA